GAUGAACGCUGGCGGCGUGCCUAAUACAUGCAAGUCGAGCGAACGGACGAGAAGCUUGCUUCUCUGAUGUUAGCGGCGGACGGGUGAGUAACACGUGGAUAACCUACCUAUAAGACUGGGAUAACUUCGGGAAACCGGAGCUAAUACCGGAUAAUAUUUUGAACCGCAUGGUUCAAAAGUGAAAGACGGUCUUGCUGUCACUUAUAGAUGGAUCCGCGCUGCAUUAGCUAGUUGGUAAGGUAACGGCUUACCAAGGCAACGAUGCAUAGCCGACCUGAGAGGGUGAUCGGCCACACUGGAACUGAGACACGGUCCAGACUCCUACGGGAGGCAGCAGUAGGGAAUCUUCCGCAAUGGGCGAAAGCCUGACGGAGCAACGCCGCGUGAGUGAUGAAGGUCUUCGGAUCGUAAAACUCUGUUAUUAGGGAAGAACAUAUGUGUAAGUAACUGUGCACAUCUUGACGGUACCUAAUCAGAAAGCCACGGCUAACUACGUGCCAGCAGCCGCGGUAGUACGUAGGUGGCAAGCGUUAUCCGGAAUUGUUGGGCGUAAAGCGCGCGUAGGCGGUCUUUUAAGUCUGAUGUGAAAGCCCACGGCUCAACCGUGGAGGGUCAUUGGAAACUGGAAAACUUGAGUGCAGAAGAGGAAAGUGGAAUUCCAUGUGUAGCGGUGAAAUGCGCAGAGAUAUGGAGGAACACCAGUGGCGAAGGCGACUUUCUGGUCUGUAACUGACGCUGAUGUGCGAAAGCGUGGGGAUCAAACAGGAUUAGAUACCCUGGUAGUCCACGCCGUAAACGAUGAGUGCUAAGUGUUAGGGGGUUUCCGCCCCUUAGUGCUGCAGCUAACGCAUUAAGCACUCCGCCUGGGGAGUACGACCGCAAGGUUGAAACUCAAAGGAAUUGACGGGGGCCCGCACAAGCGGUGGAGCAUGUGGUUUAAUUCGAAGCAACGCGAAGAACCUUACCAAAUCUUGACAUCCUUUGACAACUCUAGAGAUAGAGCCUUCCCCUUCGGGGGGCAAAGUGACAGGUGGUGCAUGGUUGUCGUCAGCUCGUGUCGUGAGAUGUUGGGUUAAGUCCCGCAACGAGCGCAACCCUUAAGCUUAGUUGCCAUCAUUAAGCUGGGCACUCUAAGUUGACUGCCGGUGACAAACCGGAGGAAGGUGGGGAUGACGUCAAAUCAUCAUGCCCCUUAUGAUUUGGGCUACACACGUGCUACAAUAGACAAUACAAAGGGCAGCGAAACCGCGAGGUCAAGCAAAUCCCAUAAAGUUGUUCUCAGUUCGGAUUGUAGUCUGCAACUCGACUACAUGAAGCUGGAAUCGCUAGUAAUCGUAGAUCAGCAUGCUACGGUGAAUACGUUCCCGGGUCU
This 1372-nucleotide ribosomal RNA is filed under the name uncultured bacterium. RNAcentral's name for it is "bacterial SSU rRNA". It matches the Rfam family "Bacterial small subunit ribosomal RNA", at positions 28 to 1381 of the family's 1533-position model. The record is from RNAcentral.